GAAGCCGGAAUCGCUAGUAAUCGCGGAUCAGAAUGCCGCGGUGAAUACGUUCCCGGGUCUUGUACACACCGCCCGUCACACCAUGGGAGUCGGGAAUGCCCGAAGCCUGUGACUGAACCGAGAGGGAGGAGCAGUCGAAGGCAGGCCUGAUGACUGGGUGAAGUCGUAACAAGGUAGC
Molecule: ribosomal RNA, 178 nt
Filed under: uncultured bacterium
Lineage: Bacteria
Description: partial 16S ribosomal RNA
Rfam family: Bacterial small subunit ribosomal RNA
Source: RNAcentral